GAGACUUCCGUUUUUAAGGUCGUACCCGAAAGACCUGCGAUUAUCACGAAUAAAUGCUAUAAGCGUGUGGCGAAGGAGCAAUCGCUACCAAUGUUUACGUCUUAGGUUUGACCAACGUGACACGAGUGAGGCUCGAACUCAAGACGUCGCGGUUACGAAGUGAACAGACUGAGCUAUCGCGAUAUGCCAAAGAUCAGGCCCGUACUCCGGGUUUUUCAGAGGGUGCGAAUUCCUAGGAUUUCCCAGAGGGGGUGCGAUUGCUUAGGAUCUCCAGAGAGGGCGUGGAUUUUCUAUACUAUUCAGGGCUCUGGUCUAUAAAUCUGAAAUUGAGCUUGGGAAACAGAUCAAGACCAGAAUGUGAUAAUAAACCAUUGACUUCAACUAGUAUAUCUGCAUGUGAAAUUAGGAUUCGGGAUCAAUUUGCAUGGUUUACAGGUUUACAAACGAUGACUUCUAUUUUGUGAUGAAACAAAUGUGGUGAUGGCGGAGGACUCGCAGUUAAUUUGCUAAAAUUAUUCAGAAUUCAUCAUUUUCAUAUCAUCAGAUUGCUGUUUACAAACUCGAAAAAUAAACGAAUAAAAUGAAAUUUAAAAUAAUUCAUGAAAACAAACAAACAAAAAAGGAAAAUAAGUUACGCGAAAACUUUAUUUGGAUCUGUCCCACCAACAUCA
Long non-coding RNA from Ostrea edulis (European flat oyster), 671 nucleotides. RefSeq lists it as uncharacterized. The transcript has 2 exons. Lineage: Eukaryota; Metazoa; Mollusca; Bivalvia; Ostreida; Ostreidae. The record is from RefSeq and is a predicted model, not a curated record.